AGAGUUUGAUCCUGGCUCAGGACGAACGCUGGCGGCGUGCCUAAUACAUGCAAGUCGAACGAAGCUUUCUUUCACCGAAUGCUUGCAUUCACCGAAAGAAGCUUAGUGGCGAACGGGUGAGUAACACGUAGGCAACCUGCCCAAAAGAGGGGGAUAACACUUGGAAACAGGUGCUAAUACCGCAUAACCAUGAACACCGCAUGAUGUUCAUGUAAAAGACGGCUUUUGCUGUCACUUUUGGAUGGGCCUGCGGCGUAUUAACUUGUUGGUGGGGUAACGGCCUACCAAGGUGAUGAUACGUAGCCGAACUGAGAGGUUGAUCGGCCACAUUGGGACUGAGACACGGCCCAAACUCCUACGGGAGGCAGCAGUAGGGAAUCUUCCACAAUGGACGAAAGUCUGAUGGAGCAACGCCGCGUGAAUGAAGAAGGCCUUCGGGUCGUAAAAUUCUGUUGUCAGAGAAGAACGUGCGUGAGAGUAACUGUUCACGUAUUGACGGUAUCUGACCAGAAAGCCACGGCUAACUACGUGCCAGCAGCCGCGGUAAUACGUAGGUGGCGAGCGUUGUCCGGAUUUAUUGGGCGUAAAGGGAACGCAGGCGGUCUUUUAAGUCUGAUGUGAAAGCCUUCGGCUUAACCGAAGUAGUGCAUUGGAAACUGGAAGACUUGAGUGCAGAAGAGGAGAGUGGAACUCCAUGUGUAGCGGUGAAAUGCGUAGAUAUAUGGAAGAACACCAGUGGCGAAAGCGGCUCUCUGGUCUGUAACUGACGCUGAGGUUCGAAAGCGUGGGUAGCAAACAGGAUUAGAUACCCUGGUAGUCCACGCCGUAAACGAUGAGUGCUAAGUGUUGGAGGGUUUCCGCCCUUCAGUGCUGCAGCUAACGCAUUAAGCACUCCGCCUGGGGAGUACGGUCGCAAGACUGAAACUCAAAGGAAUUGACGG
This 941-nucleotide ribosomal RNA is filed under the name uncultured bacterium. Its description in RNAcentral is "bacterial SSU rRNA". It matches the Rfam family "Bacterial small subunit ribosomal RNA", at positions 8 to 916 of the family's 1533-position model. The record is from RNAcentral.